RNAcentral lists this ribosomal RNA (219 nucleotides) under Bacteroides caecigallinarum. Its description in RNAcentral is "partial 23S ribosomal RNA". It matches the Rfam family "Bacterial large subunit ribosomal RNA", at positions 1787 to 2005 of the family's 2925-position model. The record is from RNAcentral. Lineage: Bacteria; Pseudomonadati; Bacteroidota; Bacteroidia; Bacteroidales; Bacteroidaceae.
UAGGUCCAGGCAACUGUUUAACAAAAACACAGGGCUGUGCUAAUAUGAAAGUAGAUGUAUACAGCCUGACACCUGCCCGGUGCUGGAAGGUUAAGAGGAGAUGUCAUCGCGAGAGAAGCAUUGAAUUGAAGCCCCAGUAAACGGCGGCCGUAACUAUAACGGUCCUAAGGUAGCGAAAUUCCUUGUCGGGUAAGUUCCGACCUGCACGAAUGGUGUAAU